Molecule: ribosomal RNA, 888 nt
Filed under: Olivibacter sp. SLO-73221
Lineage: Bacteria; Pseudomonadati; Bacteroidota; Sphingobacteriia; Sphingobacteriales; Sphingobacteriaceae
Description: bacterial SSU rRNA
Rfam family: Bacterial small subunit ribosomal RNA
Source: RNAcentral
GCUAGUCGGACGGGAUUCAGCAGCUUGCUGUUGAUGAGAGUGGCGCACGGGUGCGUAACGCGUGAGCAACCUGCCCAUUUCAGGGGGAUAGCCCGGAGAAAUCCGGAUUAAGACCGCAUAUGAUCACGUUACCGCAUGGUAGAGUGAUGAAAUAUUCAUAGGAAAUGGAUGGGCUCGCGUGACAUUAGCUAGUUGGUAGGGUAACGGCCUACCAAGGCGACGAUGUCUAGGGGCUCUGAGAGGAGAAUCCCCCACACUGGUACUGAGACACGGACCAGACUCCUACGGGAGGCAGCAGUAAGGAAUAUUGGUCAAUGGGGGGAACCCUGAACCAGCCAUGCCGCGUGCAGGAAGACGGCCCUACGGGUUGUAAACUGCUUUUGCACGGGAAUAACCCUCAUUAUGUAUAAUGAGCUGAAUGUACCGUGAGAAUAAGGAUCGGCUAACUCCGUGCCAGCAGCCGCGGUAAUACGGAGGAUCCGAGCGUUAUCCGGAAUUAUUGGGUUUAAAGGGUGCGCAGGCGGGGAUCUAAGUCAGGGGUGAAAGACGGUGGCUCAACCAUCGCAGUGCCUUUGAUACUGGAUUCCUUGAAUAUACCUGAGGUAGGCGGAAUGUGGCAAGUAGCGGUGAAAUGCAUAGAUAUGCCACAGAACACCGAUUGCGAAGGCAGCUUACCAAAGUAUGAUUGACGCUGAGGCACGAAAGCGUGGGGAUCGAACAGGAUUAGAUACCCUGGUAGUCCACGCCCUAAACGAUGAACACUCGAUGUCGGCGAUAGACAGUCGGCGUCCAAGCGAAAGCGUUAAGUGUUYCACCUGGGGGAGUACGCCCGCAAGGGUGAAACUCAAAGGAAUUGACGGGGGCCCGCACAAGCGGAGGAGCAUGUGG